Molecule: small nuclear RNA, 306 nt
Filed under: Octodon degus (degu)
Lineage: Eukaryota; Metazoa; Chordata; Mammalia; Rodentia; Octodontidae
Description: 7SK RNA (ENSODEG00000024312.1)
Rfam family: 7SK RNA
About the family: 7SK was discovered as an abundant small nuclear RNA in the mid-70s but a possible function has only recently been suggested. Two independent studies have found that 7SK RNA binds the CDK9/cyclin T complex (known as elongation factor P-TEFb).
Source: Rfam by way of RNAcentral
GGAUUGUGAAGGUGAUCUAGCUGCAGCCUGUCACCUCACGAUGGCCAGGGUUAAUUUGGUUGAUGUGGCUGGCUAGACCAGUGUCUCCUUCCCCCUCACUGUUCCUUGUACAUCCCUCCCCCAAAGCUGUGUGUUCAAAGAGGAUGACCACCCCUGAGAGAGGAACCUUCCUCAGUAGUCAAGGGUAUAUGAGCAGCUGUGCUCCCCAACUAGAACCUCUAAGUAAGCACUUAAGAAUACAUCAGGUGUGGGGGCUGGGGAGAUAGCUCAGUGGAACAAGUGCUUGCCUAGCAAGCUCAAGGGCCU